GGCCCUGAAGAUUUAUUUUAUACAACGUUUGACAUGUUUGAACGAACCUACAUGCGCGAGGAUUGCUUUCAUUAUGAACUUCAGAGCUGCGCUUGGAGAGAGCCAUAGGACGCGCUACCAACAUCAGGCUAAUGGAACGUGAAGUAUGGACUUUUUGACCGAAAAUACAUCUGUUGUGGACCUGGGAUGCUUUCUGAUGAAGACAACUAAAGGCAAGACAUUCAGAUCGAAAGUCCCUGGGGUUAUGAUCACACAGUAUGUGGAGGAAAUACCAGAGGGAAAGAGCCACCCAGACUUCCUCCCGCAAGCCCAUCGCUUUGACUAUUCAGGUGGAACAAAGAAAGCACCAGGCCAAACAUUUCCCUCUCUUCCUGAGAGGAAUUGGCAUUGUGGAGUACAUCACAUCAGUCACUGGCUUUAUCAAUAAGUGCAUUGAGGAUAUCGUCCCCACAGUGACUAUACG
RNAcentral lists this long non-coding RNA (463 nucleotides) under Salmo salar (Atlantic salmon). RNAcentral's name for it is "lncRNA (ENSSSAG00000097500.1)". The record is from RNAcentral. Lineage: Eukaryota; Metazoa; Chordata; Actinopteri; Salmoniformes; Salmonidae.